Non-coding RNA from Ochotona curzoniae (black-lipped pika), 646 nucleotides. NCBI's taxonomy places the organism in Eukaryota, Metazoa, Chordata, Mammalia, Lagomorpha, Ochotonidae. The record is from the annotation of a RefSeq genome assembly.
AGGAGCUCUCCCAGCAAAGAGGCUGCAGCGUUUCCAGCCCAGCCAUGCUCCUGCUGCUCGCCUCAGUGCUGGGGCUUCACUUGGCCCUGAGAGACGCUGGAGCCCAGACUGUGACCCAGCCCGACACCCAUGUCUCUGUGUCUGAAGGAGACUCUGUGGAGCUGAGGUGCAACUACUCCUAUGGGGCAACCCCCUACCUCUUCUGGUAUGUCCAGCACCGUGGCCAAGGUCCUCAGUUUCUCCUUAAGUACGUUUCAGGGAACACCCUGGUUCAGGGCCUCCACGGUUUUGAGGCUGAAUUUAAGAAGAGCGAAUCUUCCUUCCACCUGAGGAAGCCCUCUGUGCAGCUGAGUGACGCGGCCCGGUACUGGUGUGCUCUGAGUGCCACAGCGCCUGGGGCUGCAGGGGGAGCAGUGCAUAAACCACCCCUGAGUGCAGAGCUCAGAAACUCAGCAGCUGUUGGUGUGGGUUGAGGGAAAGAUUUCAGUUGACGUGCUGGCAGAUGAGCUAGAGAGGGCUGGGCUGUACUUUUGUGCAGUUCCACUUCUGCUGUGCCCUGGGUCUCAAACACUUGGCACUCGUUUGCAGAAUCAGAACACCGAGGAGUAAGUCAGUGUUGUAGAACGAUGGAGGAGUCAGUGUUCUU